This 308-nucleotide long non-coding RNA is filed under the name Elaeis guineensis (African oil palm). RNAcentral describes it as "long non-coding RNA (EGUI_LNC081976)". Lineage: Eukaryota; Viridiplantae; Streptophyta; Magnoliopsida; Arecales; Arecaceae. The record is from RNAcentral.
CCAUCGAUAGUGAUUAAAUCACUGACUCAUAAGUGGUUGUCUACCUCCAUAUUGAUGUAGGUUAGCCAAUGUGAGAGGGACAAGCUGGAAAUCCAAAUAUCCUGUCUCACAUUAAUCAAAGUUUCAUCCCCAAUCAGCUAUCUGACCUGGGUCACUACUGUUGGAGCCCGGAUAUAAAUUUUCUUCCAAAUGAAGGGGCAGUCACAAUCAAUCCAGAUUUGGGACCCCUAGCUCCAUUCGCGAUAUUGAGUCCUCAUCAUCCUACUCUAUAAGCAAUCAGACUGGAUGAGAAAUCUAGCUGCAUGUCU